Alosa sapidissima (American shad) is the source of this 433-nucleotide long non-coding RNA. RefSeq lists it as uncharacterized. NCBI's taxonomy places the organism in Eukaryota, Metazoa, Chordata, Actinopteri, Clupeiformes, Clupeidae. The record is from RefSeq and is a predicted model, not a curated record. The transcript is spliced from 2 exons.
CACACGCAGCCUAGUCUAUUUGACCUACACUGGCAAUAUUAAUUAAUUUGCCUGACCACAUCUUUGAUCAUUAUUAAGCCGACUAAGGUUAACCUAUACAACUUUGUGUCUGCAGUCACAGAUAAUUCCUCUGGGAAGGGUGUGUAUAUGCCCAUGUUGAUGUUACAGUGUCCCAAUUUUUGUGGAUGAUGUCUGUGAGUCUACACUAUUUUUAGGGGGCCAGACCUGUUGUCAAAAUAUGCUAAACUUCAUAUGAACAUGCCACAAAGAUUGGUCACAUGCUAUGCCAUUUAGUUUGAUAUUGACUGUUUAGAACAGCAGAAUUGUAUGCUUAAGAUUAUCACUUGACAUUUGCAAGUAUAAAUACAUCCCCAAAUCAGAAAAAUGUGUGAUGUUGUGUAAAAUGCAAAUAAAAACAGAAUGUGAUAAUCUA